RNAcentral lists this ribosomal RNA (492 nucleotides) under uncultured bacterium. Its description in RNAcentral is "partial 16S ribosomal RNA". It matches the Rfam family "Bacterial small subunit ribosomal RNA", at positions 29 to 507 of the family's 1533-position model. The record is from RNAcentral.
AGUGAACGCUGGCGGUAGGCCUAACACAUGCAAGUCGAACGGCAGCACAGUAAGAGCUUGCUCUUACGGGUAGCGAGUGGCGGACGGGUGAGGAAUACAUCGGAAUCUACUUUUUCGUGGGGGAUAACGUAGGGAAACUUACGCUAAUACCGCAUACGACCUACGGGUGAAAGCAGGGGAUCUUCGGACCUUGCGCGAUUGAAUGAGCCGAUGUCGGAUUAGCUAGUUGGCGGGGUAAAGGCCCACCAAGGCGACGAUCCGUAGCUGGCCUGAGAGGAUGAUCAGCCACACUGGAACUGAGACACGGCCCAGACUCCUACGGGAGGCAGCAGUGGGGAAUAUUGGACAAUGGGCGCAAGCCUGAUCCAGCCAUACCGCGUGGGUGAAGAAGGCCUUCGGGUUGUAAAGCCCUUUUGUUGGGAAAGAAAAGCAGCAGGUUAAUACCCCGCUGUUCUGACGGUACCCAAAGAAUAAGCACCGGCUAACUUCGUG